UCCCUGGUGGCUUAGAUGGUAAAGAAUCUGUCUGCAAUGCAGGAGACCCAGGUUUGAUCCUUGGUCAGGAAG
RNAcentral lists this transfer RNA (72 nucleotides) under Bos taurus (domestic cattle). It matches the Rfam family "tRNA". Rfam says of the family: Transfer RNA (tRNA) molecules are approximately 80 nucleotides in length. Their secondary structure includes four short double-helical elements and three loops (D, anti-codon, and T loops). RNAcentral also lists the same sequence under 5 other names. The record is from Rfam by way of RNAcentral. Lineage: Eukaryota; Metazoa; Chordata; Mammalia; Artiodactyla; Bovidae.